GACGAACGCUGGCGGCGUGCUUAACACAUGCAAGUCGAACGGAAAGGCCCUGCUUUUGUGGGGUGCUCGAGUGGCGAACGGGUGAGUAACACGUGAGUAACCUGCCCUUGACUUUGGGAUAACUUCAGGAAACUGGGGCUAAUACCGGAUAGGAGCUCCUGCUGCAUGGUGGGGGUUGGAAAGUUUCGGCGGUUGGGGAUGGACUCGCGGCUUAUCAGCUUGUUGGUGGGGUAGUGGCUUACCAAGGCUUUGACGGGUAGCCGGCCUGAGAGGGUGACCGGCCACAUUGGGACUGAGGUACGGCCCAGACUCGUACGGGAGGCAGCAGUGGGGAAUAUUGCACAAUGAGCGGAAGCCUGAUGAAGAAACGCCGCGUGCGGGAUGACGGCCUUCGGGUUGUAAACCGCUUUCGCCUGUGACGAAGCGUGAGUGACGGUAAUGGGUAAAGAAGCACCGGCUAACUACGUG
RNAcentral lists this ribosomal RNA (468 nucleotides) under uncultured bacterium. RNAcentral describes it as "partial 16S ribosomal RNA". It matches the Rfam family "Bacterial small subunit ribosomal RNA", at positions 28 to 507 of the family's 1533-position model. The record is from RNAcentral.